This 459-nucleotide ribosomal RNA is filed under the name uncultured bacterium. RNAcentral describes it as "partial 16S ribosomal RNA". It matches the Rfam family "Bacterial small subunit ribosomal RNA", at positions 338 to 795 of the family's 1533-position model. The record is from RNAcentral.
CCUACGGGUGGCAGCAGUGAGGAAUAUUGGUCAAUGGGCGGGAGCCUGAACCAGCCAAGCCGCGUGAAGGAAGAAGGCGCCAAGCGUCGUAAACUUCUUUUGUCGGGGAACAAAGGGCGCCACGUGUGGCGUUGUGAGUGUACCCGAAGAAAAAGCAUCGGCUAACUCCGUGCCAGCAGCCGCGGUAAUACGGGGGAUGCGAGCGUUAUCCGGAUUUAUUGGGUUUAAAGGGUGCGUAGGCGGUCCGGAAAGUCAGCGGUAAAAGCCCGGGGCUAAACCCCGCCGAGCCGUUGAGACUGGCGGACUAGAGGCGGCGAGAGGUACGCGGAAUGCGGGGUGUAGUGGUGAAAUGCAUAGAUAUCGCGCAGAACUCCGAUUGCGAAGGCAGCGUACCGGCGCCGGACUGACGCUGAUGCACGAAAGCGUGGGUAGCGAACAGGAUUAGAUACCCGUGUAGUC